UACGGGGUAGCAAGCGUUGUUCGGAUUUACUGGGCGUAAAGGGCGCGUAGGCGGUCAGCACAAGUCAGUUGUGAAAUCUCCGGGCUUAACUCGGAAAGGUCAACUGAUACUGUGCGACUAGAGUGCAGAAGGGGCAACUGGAAUUCUCGGUGUAGCAGUGAAAUGCGUAGAUAUCGAGAGGAACACCAGUGGCGAAGGCGGCAUCCUGGACCAAUAUUGACGCUGAGGAGCGAAAGCCAGGGGAGCAAACGGG
RNAcentral lists this ribosomal RNA (253 nucleotides) under uncultured bacterium. RNAcentral's name for it is "partial 16S ribosomal RNA". It matches the Rfam family "Bacterial small subunit ribosomal RNA", at positions 524 to 776 of the family's 1533-position model. The record is from RNAcentral.